GCAUCGAUAUGGUGGUCCUGGGGGAGCCGGGGGCCACCAGGUCGCUUAAGGAGGGGUGAACCGGCCCAGGUCGGAGACGGAGCAGGUCAAAGCUCCCGUGCCGCUCGGUAGCGGGAUGGCGCCUGUGAACAGUCCCUGCAGCACAGCCCGGGCGAGAGAGCGGGACCCAGCCUCUU
Molecule: signal recognition particle RNA, 176 nt
Filed under: Chlamydotis macqueenii (Macqueen's bustard)
Lineage: Eukaryota; Metazoa; Chordata; Aves; Otidiformes; Otididae
Description: Chlamydotis undulata macqueenii Metazoan signal recognition particle RNA
Rfam family: Metazoan signal recognition particle RNA
About the family: The signal recognition particle (SRP) is a universally conserved ribonucleoprotein. It is involved in the co-translational targeting of proteins to membranes. The eukaryotic SRP consists of a 300-nucleotide 7S RNA and six proteins: SRPs 72, 68, 54, 19, 14, and 9.
Source: Rfam by way of RNAcentral